ACUGUGAUUUGUCAGCUUAUACUAAAAUUAGAAAGAUGAAGACGAUUAUCAUGGUCUCUGGGCAAGGAUGACAAGCAAAUUCAUACAGCAUCCCGUAUUUUU
Small nuclear RNA from Cynocephalus volans (Philippine flying lemur), 102 nucleotides. The record is from RefSeq and is a predicted model, not a curated record. Lineage: Eukaryota; Metazoa; Chordata; Mammalia; Dermoptera; Cynocephalidae.